Molecule: transfer RNA, 71 nt
Filed under: Phrynosoma platyrhinos (Desert horned lizard)
Lineage: Eukaryota; Metazoa; Chordata; Lepidosauria; Squamata; Phrynosomatidae
Description: tRNA-OTHER
Source: RNAcentral
GCUAGCAUGCCGUAGUGGUUUGCGUGCUGGACUAUGACUCUGGAGACCAAGGUUCAAAUCCCAUCUCAGCC